This 209-nucleotide long non-coding RNA is filed under the name Eutrema salsugineum. RNAcentral's name for it is "long non-coding RNA (ESAL_LNC001803)". The record is from RNAcentral. Lineage: Eukaryota; Viridiplantae; Streptophyta; Magnoliopsida; Brassicales; Brassicaceae.
GAUACGAUCCGAGGAGAUCAACUCUGAAGAUAAGGCAACAGGCGAAUUGAGAUCGUGACUUGGAGGGACAGAUGCGAUGAUAUUGGCGUGAUGAAGCGAUGGUGGCGCGAUGAGAGAUCGAUGGAGGGAGAUGGUGGUGUGAUGCGGCGGAUCGAUGGUUUGAGAUGGUGGUGGAUGGAUUCGUCGAUGGAUCGUGAGAGGGAUGUGAU